This 635-nucleotide ribosomal RNA is filed under the name uncultured Pseudomonadota bacterium. RNAcentral describes it as "bacterial SSU rRNA". It matches the Rfam family "Bacterial small subunit ribosomal RNA", at positions 8 to 636 of the family's 1533-position model. Lineage: Bacteria; Pseudomonadati; Pseudomonadota. The record is from RNAcentral.
AGAGUUUGAUCCUGGCUCAGAUUGAACGCUGCGGCAUGCCUAACACAUGCAAGUCGAACGGAAACGAUGGAAGCUUGCUUCCAGGCGUCGAGUGGCGGACGGGUGAGUAAUGCUUAGGAAUCUGCCCAGUAGUGGGGGACAACUCGAGGAAACUCGAGCUAAUACCGCAUACGCCCUAAGGGGGAAAGCAGGGGAUCUUCGGACCUUGCGCUAUUGGAUGAGCCUAAGUCGGAUUAGCUUGUUGGUGAGGUAAAGGCUCACCAAGGCGACGAUCCGUAGCUGGUCUGAGAGGACGAUCAGCCACACUGGGACUGAGACACGGCCCAGACUCCUACGGGAGGCAGCAGUGGGGAAUAUUGGACAAUGGGGGCAACCCUGAUCCAGCAAUGCCGCGUGUGUGAAGAAGGCCUGCGGGUUGUAAAGCACUUUCAGUAGAGAAGAAAAGCUUAUGGCUAAUACCCGUGAGUCUUGACGUUACCUACAGAAGAAGCUCCGGCUAACUCCGUGCCAGCAGCCGCGGUAAUACGGAGGGAGCGAGCGUUAAUCGGAAUUACUGGGCGUAAAGCGCGCGUAGCGGCUUUGUAAGUCGGAUGUGAAAGCCCAGGGCUUAACCCUGGAAUGCAUUCGGAUAUUGC